Molecule: ribosomal RNA, 391 nt
Filed under: uncultured Aquabacterium sp.
Lineage: Bacteria; Pseudomonadati; Pseudomonadota; Betaproteobacteria; Burkholderiales; Sphaerotilaceae
Description: bacterial SSU rRNA
Rfam family: Bacterial small subunit ribosomal RNA
Source: RNAcentral
GAAUAAGCACCGGCUAACUACGUGCCAGCAGCCGCGGUAAUACGUAGGGUGCGAGCGUUAAUCGGAAUUACUGGGCGUAAAGCGUGCGCAGGCGGUUGUGCAAGACAGGUGUGAAAUCCCCGGGCUUAACCUGGGAACUGCACUUGUGACUGCACGGCUAGAGUACGGUAGAGGGGGAUGGAAUUCCGCGUGUAGCAGUGAAAUGCGUAGAUAUGCGGAGGAACACCGAUGGCGAAGGCAAUCCCCUGGACCUGUACUGACGCUCAUGCACGAAAGCGUGGGGAGCAAACAGGAUUAGAUACCCUGGUAGUCCACGCCCUAAACGAUGUCAACUGGUUGUUGGACGGCUUGCUGUUCAGUAACGAAGCUAACGCGUGAAGUUGACCGCCUG